UUUCUUUCUUUCUUUCUUUCUUUCUUUCUUUCUUUCUUUCUUUCUUUCUUUCUUUCUUUUUUUUCUCCUUUUGCUAGUGAAGGAGAAUUGGAUUGGUUAUUUUCAGAACAGGCAGCCUAAAUUGAUGCACAAAUCAGUAGCAUCCUUUUUGGAGUGGCCAUCACAUGAAUUCUUUGGAGAUCUCUGAAGAAAACAGAAAGAAACUGAAAUGGCAUGAAUGAAUUAAUCGUGCCAGAUUCUCCAACACUUCCUCAGGAGACCCUAUUGCUCUGAUCAAGAAGUUCCAUCAGCACCGAAGAAAACAGCAGUCCCGGAUAACCACCAUCAACUUUCCGUUUCCAUGAAUUUGAUUACUUUGGAUACCUCAUGCAGAAGAGCCCCAUCCCAUGGCCACCAUCACAACAGGCCCAUUGGAGGUACUAGCGCGGUACCACUGAUAUUCCCACAAGGCUCAAGUGCUCCUCAUUCAGUUUUGGCUUCUGGCCCUGUGGCUGGAUGGGAGAAGAUCUGUGACACUCCCUGGAGACCUAUUCCCCAUUGUCUUGGUGAUUAACAUUCAGCUCCUUGUUACUUAUGCAAAUUUCUGUAGCAGGUUUGUAUUUCUCACCAGAAAAUGGGUAUUUCUUUUCUGUCGCAUCAUCAGGCUGCAAUUUUUCUAAACUUUUAUGCUCUGCUUACUCCUGAAUGCUUUGCUGCUUUAAAAUUUCUGUUGCCAGAUACCCUAAAUCAUCUCGUUCAGGUUCAAAGUUCCAUGGAUCUCUAGGGAAGGGGAGAAAUGCUGCCAGUCUCUUUGCUAAGCAUAACAAGAGUCACCUUUGUUCCUGUUCCCAACAAGUUCCUCAUCUC
RNAcentral lists this long non-coding RNA (846 nucleotides) under Homo sapiens (human). RNAcentral's name for it is "HSALNT0408134". Lineage: Eukaryota; Metazoa; Chordata; Mammalia; Primates; Hominidae. The record is from RNAcentral.